RNAcentral lists this transfer RNA (73 nucleotides) under Aphanizomenon flos-aquae WA102. RNAcentral's name for it is "tRNA-Ala". It matches the Rfam family "tRNA". Rfam says of the family: Transfer RNA (tRNA) molecules are approximately 80 nucleotides in length. Their secondary structure includes four short double-helical elements and three loops (D, anti-codon, and T loops). Further hydrogen bonds mediate the characteristic L-shaped molecular structure. tRNAs have two regions of fundamental functional importance: the anti-codon, which is responsible for specific mRNA codon recognition, and the 3' end, to which the tRNAs corresponding amino acid is attached (by aminoacyl-tRNA synthetases). tRNAs cope with the degeneracy of the genetic code in two manners: having more than one tRNA (with a specific anti-codon) for a particular amino acid; and 'wobble' base-pairing, i.e. permitting non-standard base-pairing at the 3rd anti-codon position. Lineage: Bacteria; Bacillati; Cyanobacteriota; Cyanophyceae; Nostocales; Aphanizomenonaceae. The record is from RNAcentral.
GGGCGGUUAGCUCAGUUGGGAGAGCGACGGUUUUGCAAUCCGUAGGUCAGCGGUUCGAUCCCGCUACUGUCCA